This 154-nucleotide small nucleolar RNA is filed under the name Zea mays. RNAcentral describes it as "Zm_64". The stretch from base 40 to 154 matches the Rfam family "Small nucleolar RNA U19". The record is from RNAcentral. Lineage: Eukaryota; Viridiplantae; Streptophyta; Magnoliopsida; Poales; Poaceae.
AAUGCCUCUUUGAGUAGCCAUUACAGUCCCUGAGUACUGUCUUGGUUUAGUUAGGGGGCGCAAAGCACUGGACAUCUGAUGUCCACUCAGGCCUUUUUAGGGGGUACCUCACCUGUCUUACCAAGAAGUGCCCCCCAAGCAGCCUUAGACAUAC